GGAGCUUGCUCCACCGGAAAAAGAAGAGUGGCGAACGGGUGAGUAACACGUGGGUAACCUGCCCAUCAGAAGGGGAUAACACUUGGAAACAGGUGCUAAUACCGUAUAACAAUCGAAACCGCAUGGUUUUGAUUUGAAAGGCGCUUUCGGGUGUCGCUGAUGGAUGGACCCGCGGUGCAUUAGCUAGUUGGUGAGGUAACGGCUCACCAAGGCCACGAUGCAUAGCCGACCUGAGAGGGUGAUCGGCCACAUUGGGACUGAGACACGGCCCAAACUCCUACGGGAGGCAGCAGUAGGGAAUCUUCGGCAAUGGACGAAAGUCUGACCGAGCAACGCCGCGUGAGUGAAGAAGGUUUUCGGAUCGUAAAACUCUGUUGUUAGAGAAGAACAAGGAUGAGAGUAACUGUUCAUCCCUUGACGGUAUCUAACCAGAAAGCCACGGCUAACUACGUGCCAGCAGCCGCGGUAAUACGUAGGUGGCAAGCGUUGUCCGGAUUUAUUGGGCGUAAAGCGAGCGCAGGCGGUUUCUUAAGUCUGAUGUGAAAGCCCCCGGCUCAACCGGGGAGGGUCAUUGGAAACUGGGAGACUUGAGUGCAGAAGAGGAGAGUGGAAUUCCAUGUGUAGCGGUGAAAUGCGUAGAUAUAUGGAGGAACACCAGUGGCGAAGGCGGCUCUCUGGUCUGUAACUGACGCUGAGGCUCGAAAGCGUGGGGAGCAAACAGGAUUAGAUACCCUGGUAGUCCACGCCGUAAACGAUGAGUGCUAAGUGUUGGAGGGUUUCCGCCCUUCAGUGCUGCAGCUAACGCAUUAAGCACUCCGCCUGGGGAGUACGACCGCAAGGUUGAAACUCAAAGGAAUUGACGGGGGCCCGCACAAGCGGUGGAGCAUGUGGUUUAAUUCGAAGCAACGCGAAGAACCUUACCAGGUCUUGACAUCCUUUGACCACUCUAGAGAUAGAGCUUCCCCUUCGGGGGCAAAGUGACAGGUGGUGCAUGGUUGUCGUCAGCUCGUGUCGUGAGAUGUUGGGUUAAGUCCCGCAACGAGCGCAACCCUUAUUGUUAGUUGCCAUCAUUCAGUUGGGCACUCUAGCAAGACUGCCGGUGACAAACCGGAGGAAGGUGGGGAUGACGUCAAAUCAUCAUGCCCCUUAUGACCUGGGCUACACACGUGCUACAAUGGGAAGUACAACGAGUCGCGAAGUCGCGAGGCUAAGCUAAUCUCUUAAAGCUUCUCUCAGUUCGGAUUGUAGGCUGCAACUCGCCUACAUGAAGCCGGAAUCGCUAGUAAUCGCGGAUCAGCACGCCGCGGUGAAUACGUUCCCGGGCCUUGUACACACCGCCCGUCACACCACGAGAGUUUGUAACACCCGAAGUCGGUGAGGAACCUUUGGAGCCAGC
This 1396-nucleotide ribosomal RNA is filed under the name Enterococcus durans. Its description in RNAcentral is "bacterial SSU rRNA". It matches the Rfam family "Bacterial small subunit ribosomal RNA", at positions 75 to 1453 of the family's 1533-position model. Lineage: Bacteria; Bacillati; Bacillota; Bacilli; Lactobacillales; Enterococcaceae. The record is from RNAcentral.